This 648-nucleotide ribosomal RNA is filed under the name uncultured bacterium. RNAcentral describes it as "bacterial SSU rRNA". It matches the Rfam family "Bacterial small subunit ribosomal RNA", at positions 8 to 634 of the family's 1533-position model. The record is from RNAcentral.
AGAGUUUGAUCCUGGCUCAGAACGAACGCUGGCGGCGUGGCUAAAACAUGCAAGUCGAGCGCGAAUUCCCGGGCAACUGGGAUAGUAGAGCGGCGGAAGGGUGAGUAAUGCAUGGGCAACGUACCUCGGGCACGGGGAUAGCCUACCGAAAGGUAGGGUAAUACCUGAUGAGACCACAGUGUCAUAUGGCACAGCGGUCAACGGGCGGGGAUCUUCGGACCUGCCGGCCUGAGAGCGGCCCAUGUCCUAUCAGCUUGUUGGUGAGGUAACGGCUCACCAAGGCGACGACGGGUACCGGGACUGAGAGGUUGGCCCGGCACAUUGGGACUGAGACACUGCCCAGACUCCUACGGGAGGCUGCAGUAACGAAUAUUCCGCAAUGGGCGAAAGCCUGACGGAGCGACGCCGCGUGUGGGAAGAAGCCCUUCGGGGUGUAAACCACUGUCAGGGAUUACCAAGCAAGGGGACCUAAUACGUCCCUGCGUUGAGGAGUCCCGGAGGAAGCCACGGCUAACUUCGUGCCAGCAGCCGCGGUAAUACGAAGGUGGCAAGCGUUGUUCGGAAUCACUGGGCUUNNNGAGCACGUAGGUGGCCCCUCAAGCGCUUUGUGAAAUCCCUCGGCUCAACCGAGGAAUGGCUGGGCGAACU